AAUUUUUGGCCGUCGUACCAGGCCGGUUUGGGCCGGUUAUGAUGACGAGUAAGAGUGGUUUCAGUCAAUUUUCAAGUGAGGAAGAUGCCAUUACUCUCAAUAUCAUCUCUUUGCACAGAGAAUUGGAGGGCCUGCUCACAUAGGAAAGGUAAGCAAGUGUUACCCUAGGUGUUUUUCUAUUUUCAAUUCUACCCCUCAUUUUUCUGUUCGCUAAUGGUAGCUAAAUGUUACGC
This 233-nucleotide long non-coding RNA is filed under the name Nicotiana benthamiana. Its description in RNAcentral is "long non-coding RNA (NBEN_LNC011196)". The record is from RNAcentral. Lineage: Eukaryota; Viridiplantae; Streptophyta; Magnoliopsida; Solanales; Solanaceae.